Molecule: ribosomal RNA, 252 nt
Filed under: uncultured bacterium
Lineage: Bacteria
Description: partial 16S ribosomal RNA
Rfam family: Bacterial small subunit ribosomal RNA
Source: RNAcentral
UACGUAGGGGGCGAGCGUUAUCCGGAUUCAUUGGGCGUAAAGCGCGCGUAGGCGGCCGCCUAAGCGGAACCUCUAACCCGGGGGCUCAACCUCGGGCCGGGUUCCGGACUGGGCGGCUCGAGUGCGGUAGAGGAGAGCGGAAUUCCCGGUGUAGCGGUGGAAUGCGCAGAUAUCGGGAAGAACACCGAUGGCGAAGGCAGCUCUCUGGGCCGUCACUGACGCUGAGGCGCGAAAGCUGGGGGAGCGAACAGG